RNAcentral lists this ribosomal RNA (1483 nucleotides) under Staphylococcus aureus. RNAcentral's name for it is "partial 23S ribosomal RNA". It matches the Rfam family "Bacterial large subunit ribosomal RNA", at positions 80 to 1561 of the family's 2925-position model. Lineage: Bacteria; Bacillati; Bacillota; Bacilli; Caryophanales; Staphylococcaceae. The record is from RNAcentral.
GGGGAGCUGUAAGUAAGCUUUGAUCCAGAGAUUUCCGAAUGGGGAAACCCAGCAUGAGUUAUGUCAUGUUAUCGAUAUGUGAAUACAUAGCAUAUCAGAAGGCACACCCGGAGAACUGAAACAUCUUAGUACCCGGAGGAAGAGAAAGAAAAUUCGAUUCCCUUAGUAGCGGCGAGCGAAACGGGAAGAGCCCAAACCAACAAGCUUGCUUGUUGGGGUUGUAGGACACUCUAUACGGAGUUACAAAGGACGACAUUAGACGAAUCAUCUGGAAAGAUGAAUCAAAGAAGGUAAUAAUCCUGUAGUCGAAAAUGUUGUCUCUCUUGAGUGGAUCCUGAGUACGACGGAGCACGUGAAAUUCCGUCGGAAUCUGGGAGGACCAUCUCCUAAGGCUAAAUACUCUCUAGUGACCGAUAGUGAACCAGUACCGUGAGGGAAAGGUGAAAAGCACCCCGGAAGGGGAGUGAAAUAGAACCUGAAACCGUGUGCUUACAAGUAGUCAGAGCCCGUUAAUGGGUGAUGGCGUGCCUUUUGUAGAAUGAACCGGCGAGUUACGAUUUGAUGCAAGGUUAAGCAGUAAAUGUGGAGCCGUAGCGAAAGCGAGUCUGAAUAGGGCGUUUAGUAUUUGGUCGUAGACCCGAAACCAGGUGAUCUACCCUUGGUCAGGUUGAAGUUCAGGUAACACUGAAUGGAGGACCGAACCGACUUACGUUGAAAAGUGAGCGGAUGAACUGAGGGUAGCGGAGAAAUUCCAAUCGAACCUGGAGAUAGCUGGUUCUCUCCGAAAUAGCUUUAGGGCUAGCCUCAAGUGAUGAUUAUUGGAGGUAGAGCACUGUUUGGACGAGGGGCCCCUCUCGGGUUACCGAAUUCAGACAAACUCCGAAUGCCAAUUAAUUUAACUUGGGAGUCAGAACAUGGGUGAUAAGGUCCGUGUUCGAAAGGGAAACAGCCCAGACCACCAGCUAAGGUCCCAAAAUAUAUGUUAAGUGGAAAAGGAUGUGGCGUUGCCCAGACAACUAGGAUGUUGGCUUAGAAGCAGCCAUCAUUUAAAGAGUGCGUAAUAGCUCACUAGUCGAGUGACACUGCGCCGAAAAUGUACCGGGGCUAAACAUAUUACCGAAGCUGUGGAUUGUCCUUUGGACAAUGGUAGGAGAGCGUUCUAAGGGCGUUGAAGCAUGAUCGUAAGGACAUGUGGAGCGCUUAGAAGUGAGAAUGCCGGUGUGAGUAGCGAAAGACGGGUGAGAAUCCCGUCCACCGAUUGACUAAGGUUUCCAGAGGAAGGCUCGUCCGCUCUGGGUUAGUCGGGUCCUAAGCUGAGGCCGACAGGCGUAGGCGAUGGAUAACAGGUUGAUAUUCCUGUACCACCUAUAAUCGUUUUAAUCGAUGGGGGGACGCAGUAGGAUAGGCGAAGCGUGCGAUUGGAUUGCACGUCUAAGCAGUAAGGCUGAGUAUUAGGCAAAUCCGGUACUCGUUAAGGCUGAGC